UGGGGAAUAUUGCACAAUGGGCGCAAGCCUGAUGCAGCCAUGCCGCGUGUAUGAAGAAGGCCUUCGGGUUGUAAAGUACUUUCAGCGGGGAGGAAGGGAGUAAAGUUAAUACCUUUGCUCAUUGACGUUACCCGCAGAAGAAGCACCGGCUAACUCCGUGCCAGCAGCCGCGGUAAUACGGAGGGUGCAAGCGUUAAUCGGAAUUACUGGGCGUAAAGCGCACGCAGGCGGUUUGUUAAGUCAGAUGUGAAAUCCCCGGGCUCAACCUGGGAACUGCAUCUGAUACUGGCAAGCUUGAGUCUCGUAGAGGGGGGUAGAAUUCCAGGUGUAGCGGUGAAAUGCGUAGAGAUCUGGAGGAAUACCGGUGGCGAAGGCGGCCCCCUGGACGAAGACUGACGCUCAGGUGCGAAAGCGUGGGGAGCAAACAGGAUUAGA
Molecule: ribosomal RNA, 435 nt
Filed under: Escherichia coli
Lineage: Bacteria; Pseudomonadati; Pseudomonadota; Gammaproteobacteria; Enterobacterales; Enterobacteriaceae
Also listed under: 1 other name
Description: bacterial SSU rRNA
Rfam family: Bacterial small subunit ribosomal RNA
Source: RNAcentral